This 494-nucleotide ribosomal RNA is filed under the name uncultured bacterium. Its description in RNAcentral is "partial 16S ribosomal RNA". It matches the Rfam family "Bacterial small subunit ribosomal RNA", at positions 28 to 507 of the family's 1533-position model. The record is from RNAcentral.
GACGAACGCUGGCGGCGUGCUUAACACAUGCAAGUCGAACGGUGAAGCGCCUUCCUUUUUGGUGGGUGUGGAUGAGUGGCGAACGGGUGAGUAACACGUGAGUAACCUGCCCCCUUCUUCUGGAUAACCGCAUGAAAGUGUGGCUAAUACGGGAUAUUCUGGGUCUGUCGCAUGAUGGGUCUGGGAAAGAUAUUGUUUCGGUGGGGGAUGGGCUCGCGGCCUAUCAGCUUGUUGGUGGGGUGAUGGCCUACCAAGGCGGUGACGGGUAGCCGGCCUGAGGGGGUGCACGGUCACACUGGGACUGAGACACGGCCCAGACUGCUAGGGGAGACAGCAGUGGAGAAUAUUGCACAAUGGGCGCAAGCCCGAUGCAGCGACGCCGCGGGAGAGAUGGAGGCCUUCGGGUUGUGAACCUCCUUCGCCAGUGAAGCAGGCCUGCCUCGUUUGUGGGUGGGUUGACGGUAGCUGGAUAAGAAGCGCCGGCUAACUACGUG